Molecule: ribosomal RNA, 253 nt
Filed under: uncultured bacterium
Lineage: Bacteria
Description: partial 16S ribosomal RNA
Rfam family: Bacterial small subunit ribosomal RNA
Source: RNAcentral
CACGUAGGGCGCAAGCGUUGUCCGGAAUUAUUGGGCGUAAAGAGCUCGUAGGCGGUCUGUUGCGUCCGCUGUGAAAACUCGGGGCUUAACCCCGAGCCUGCAGUGGAUACGGGCAGACUAGAGGUAGGUAGGGGAGAAUGGAAUUCCCGGUGUAGCGGUGAAAUGCGCAGAUAUCGGGAGGAACACCGGUGGCGAAAGCGGCGCGCUGGAUCUCUUCUGACGCUGAGGCGCGAAAGCCAGGGGAGCAAACGGG